CCGGUGGCGGCUGGGCAUGCGGCGCAUUAGCUAGACGGCGGGGUAACGGCCCACCGUGGCGACGAUGCGUAGGGGUUCUGAGAGGAAGGCCCCCCACACUGGAACUGAGACACGGUCCAGACUCCUACGGGAGGCAGCAGUGAGGAAUAUUGGUCAAUGGGCGGAAGCCUGAACCAGCCAAGUCGCGUGAGGGAAUAAGGCCCUACGGGUCGUAAACCUCUUUUGCCGGGGAGCAAGGGCCGGGACGCGUCCCGGCCCGGAGAGUACCCGGAGAAAAAGCAUCGGCUAACUCCGUGCCAGCAGCCGCGGUAAUACGGAGGAUGCGAGCGUUAUCCGGAUUUAUUGGGUUUAAAGGGUGCGUAGGCGGGCUUUUAAGUCAGCGGUAAAAAUUCGGGGCUCAACCCCGUCCGGCCGUUGAAACUGGGGGCCUUGAGUGGGCGAGAAGAAGGCGGAAUGCGUGGUGUAGCGGUGAAAUGCAUAGAUAUCACGCAGAACCCCGAUUGCGAAGGCAGCCUUCCGGCGCCCUACUGACGCUGAGGCACGAAAGUGCGGGGAUCGAACAGGAUUAGAUACCCUGGUAGUCCGCACAGUAAACGAUGGAUGCCAGCUGUCCGGGCCGAAUGGGGCCUGG
Molecule: ribosomal RNA, 631 nt
Filed under: uncultured bacterium
Lineage: Bacteria
Description: bacterial SSU rRNA
Rfam family: Bacterial small subunit ribosomal RNA
Source: RNAcentral